CUACAUUUACAUAGCACCUACUAUGUGCCAGGCACUCAUUUUUAUCCUCACAACCUGGGAGGUAGGUGUUAUUAUUAUCCCCAUUUUACAGUUAAGGAAACUGAAGCAGUGACUUUAAGUGUCUUGACCCAGGUAACUACAGCUAGUAAGUGUCUGAGGCUGGAUUGGAACUCAGAUCUCUAUCCACUAUGCCACCUAGCUGCCUCAAGUAUAUGUAAAGUUGUAACAGCUGUAUGUCUAUUAUCAAUGUCUCCAGGAUUGGGACAUUAGGAAGUUUGUUUAAAACAGGGAUUGUUAACCUAGAGUCCACAGACCCCUAAUAAUUCCAUGGAUAAAUUUCAAGAGAUUUCAUGAACUUGAGUGGAAAAACAAAUUACAUCUAUAUUUUCAUAAAACUCAAAAAUUUAGCAUCUUCUAGGGAAAAAAAAAUCAGUCAUUCUGAAAAGGGUUCCUUAGGCUUCACCAGAUUGCCCAAGGAAGCCAUAGCAAAAAAAAAAAAAAUUAAGAAUCUUUGGGAAAAAAAGAGGUGUUCCAAGGCUGCUGUCAGGUGAAGGGUUGUCUUUUGGUAGCCUGUCAAAAGUGUCACCAGCAUCAGUUGUUUGCCAGACUUUAUUUUAAUAUAUUAUAUUUUUAAGGAAAUCUUUCAGUGGAUAAAUGGAGAGAAGAUUUAGGACAUAUGCAAAAGCUUCAUCCUUGGUCCAGAUACCUCAAAAGGCCCUUCCUUACAAGACCCAAUCAGUGCUAAUACCAUGCCCACCACAUAGGAUUGCACUGUUAUCAAAACAAGACCACCAGUCCCAGGCUGAGAAGAUGGUCUGCCUCAGACAUCAAUUCUCCCCACACAGGUCCUCCCCUGUAUGCCAUAAGACUGAGCCCCUAAAGAACCACAAUGACAAGAUCAAGAAUAAAUAUGAGCUGCCGACACCACCACACCCUGAUCAUCAUGGAAUUCACAUUAUUACAGCAGAGCUGAAAUGUAAGACCACAGCUUCAGUAGACUUAUUCCAGUGGGGAGAGGAGUUAACGAGCCCCAAACAAAAGUUCUCCCCAACUGUUGUGCCAAGAGGUCAGGCUGAGGCCAAACAUGGUCCUCAUUACAAGGUCAAACAUAACUUGGGUUCUAAACAGCAGACCAAAGCCAAACUUCCUCCCCAGCACCAUCCUAAAAAUCAAGCCACAUUUCUUCCCUUCAUUUGCCAACCUGGCAGGACUCCACCACACUAUCAAUCCCCAACUAAGUAUCUAUUGAUAAAUAUACACACUGGUCCAGAUUGGCAACCUACCCCUGCUACAACAAGGCAGAUGAAUAUACGCUCUGACCCAGACUACCAAGAUACACCUGUUACACCAAGGCCAAUGAAUACAGGCCCAAACUACCAACCUACACCUGCUACAAUAAGGCUGAUGAAAACACGCCCUGGCCCAGAUUACCAAACUACAUCUGCUACACCAAGGCCAAUGAAUACGGGCCCUGGCCCAAACUACCAACCUACAUCUGCUCCACCAAUGAAUACAGGCCCUGGCCCAGACUACCAACCUACAUCUGCUAUACCAAUAAAUACAGGCCCAGACUACCAACCUACAUCCGCUCCACCAAUGAAUACAGGCCUGGACUACCAACCUACAUCUGCUCCACCAAUGAAUACAGGCCCAGACUACGAACCUAUAUCUGCUCCACCAAUGAAUACAGGCCCUGGCCCAGACUACCAACCUAUAUCUGCUCCACCAAUGAAUACAGGCCCUGACCCUGACUACCAACCUAUAUCUGCUCCACCAAUGAAUACAGGCCCUGGCCCAGACUACCAACUUACACCUGCUAUACCAAUGAAUACAGGCCCAGACUACCAACCUAUAUCUGCUCCAGCAAUGAAUACAGGCCCUGGCCCAGACUACCAACCUACACCUGCUAUACCAAUGAAUACAGGCCCAGACUACCAACCUACAUCUGUUCCACCAAUGAAUACAGGCCCUGGCCCAGACUACCAACCUAUAUCUGCUCCACCAAUGAAUACAGGCCCUGGCCCAGACUACCAACCUACAUCUGUUCCACCAAUGAAUACAGGCCCUGGCCCAGACUACCAACCUACACCCGCUAUACCAAUGAAUACAGGCCCAGACUACCAACCUAUAUCUGUUCUACCAAUGAAUACAGGCCCUGGCCCAGACUACCAACCUAUAUCUGCUCCACCAAUGAAUACAGGCCCUGGCCCAGACUACCAACUUACACCUGCUAUACCAAUGAAUACAGGCCCAGACUACCAACCUACACCUGCUAUACCAAUGAAUACAGGCCCAGACUACCAACCUAUGUCUGCUACACCAAGGCUGAUGAAUACACGUUCUGGCCUGGACUACGAAACUAUAUCUGCUACAACAAGGCUAAUGAAUACAGGCCCAGACUACCAAACAACCCCUGCUACACCAAGGCCACUGAAUAUACACCCUGGCCCAGAUUGCCAAACUAUACCAACAAUACUAAGGUAUGAGCACCACUCAAAGGCUCCACCAGAUCCUGAUGCCCAAGACAUUCCUCCCCCUGGAAUAUACCACCAAGCCCAAAUGCCACUGGACAAGGAGGACUAUGGCAUACUCCUAAGACUUCUGAGCAAUCAGGUAAAAGACCCAACAAGCCAGUACUACCAAAAGAUGAAUCCUCCUAGUCCCAUACAACACACUGAGACUCCAACAAGUGAUUACAAUCAAGCUGAGGAUACACCCAGCUCUGACCAGCCAGACGAGGCUCAACCUGGGAAUCAACACCAGACCCAGACUGAGCAGAAUAGAGACACCCCCAGGUGUUUAAAUGACAUCAAGCCUUUCACCAUUGAGGGAUUAAUAACUCUUAGUACACAAGUUGUUGAUAAAAUCAUCAGCUCUAUCCCCGAGGAGAAAAUAAAGAGAGAUAUCUAUAAUCAGGUUCGCCUGUGGCAAAUGAGGGGCUGUCCCAGGCCUACUCAUUGGCCUGAAAGAUAUAUGUCUGCUAGUUAUACAAUCUGUUUAAUUUGUGCCUCAUGGAUACCAAAUGGUUGUCCCCAUGUUCAUGGAAUGAAAUGUUCUUCUCUGGCACAAUUGCUGGCUGUACCAACACCUUUACCUGAUUCAGAGAAGAUGAAUAUGAGAUUUUACCUUAAAGUGCCCCAGCAAAAGCCAAAUACUAUUUCUACUGUCACAGACUACCCUUCCUCUAAAGCCAUGCCCUCAAGCCCUUCACCAGACUUUCCAUCAUGUCGCAAAGCAGACUCUGUUCCCCUGGUGCUUCCGAAACUCACCUGGCUGGACUUCAUACUUGCAAGACAUUACCAACAGAAGGAAGAAAAAUCUUGUCCAGGCCAAAAGCCACCUGAAUUACCCCUGACGAGCAAGACGAACAUAGAAGAAAAAAUGCCAAUGAGAAAAGGGACACAAUUCAAGUCUCUCUUAGAGAAAUUUCAAAGUAGGAGGA
This is a long non-coding RNA of Phascolarctos cinereus (koala), 3442 nucleotides long. The record is from Ensembl. Lineage: Eukaryota; Metazoa; Chordata; Mammalia; Diprotodontia; Phascolarctidae.